Leopardus geoffroyi (Geoffroy's cat) is the source of this 2332-nucleotide long non-coding RNA. RefSeq lists it as uncharacterized. The transcript has 4 exons. The record is from RefSeq and is a predicted model, not a curated record. NCBI's taxonomy places the organism in Eukaryota, Metazoa, Chordata, Mammalia, Carnivora, Felidae.
AAUAUUCUUAAAUUGUGGUGAUGGUUGCACUGUGCGAAUAUUCUAAAUACCACUGAACUUUUCACUCAAGGUGGGUGAGUUUUGUGGUAUUGAAACCAUAUUUCAAUAAAGCCAUUUUUUAAGUGGUAACAGUGGCUGGGUGGGGGUCAGGGAACAGGAGUAACAGCAGUAACUGGGUGGGGGUCAGGAGCGGGUGGAAGGAGAGGACACAAGGAAAGUGGACCGCGGACGAUCCUCGAAGCCAGAAGACGGUACGUGGCGCUUCCUCGAGCUAGUGUUCUGUGAGCUUCAGAUGUGAACACUUUCCACGAUGAAAAGUUCUCUGAAAGAAGGUUGGGGCAGGGGCGGGGGCAAGAUGGGCGAAGGGGGUCAAAGGUACAAACGUCCAGCUACGAAAUAAAGUCCCAGGGACCCCAGUUAACACUAUGAUGCGUUAUCUGAAAGGUGCUAUGCCAAGAGACGGAAAAGAUCUCAUCGCCAGCAAAAGCGAUUCUGGAACUGUCUGUGGUGACGGAGGCAAACAGACCCUCAGCGGUGAUCAUCCCGCAGCCCACACAGAUACCAAAUCGCCGUGCCGCACACCGGAACCCGACACAGCGUCGCAGCUCAACUCCAGAUCAAUAAGACCAGCCUCCCGUUACCCAAGGACGUGACAGGCCCGUGGAGGACCCUGUCCAACGCUCCUGGUGAGGAGCUCCCGCUCGGCCACUCCCAUGCGCAGGGCAGUCAAUCUGUGUCCAGACCGACCGGCCACCGCUCUGCGGCCCAGUCUGGGCAGACCACCCUCACCAGCCAGCCCUUCGAACGUGGACCCAAGGAGGAAAGCCACGGGCCGAGACAGCGAAGGGACACGACAACUACAGCCACAGCAGCACACUUCCUGGACAUGCAGCACUCGCACCCGGGGCUCUGAGCUCUUCGCCCGGGAACUCGCUCGGGCCACACGGCAACCACGGCCAUCGGUGCCGUUCCGUCCCCAGUUCCCACGUCUACACAAAGGCCCCGUGCGGCGGGUGAGGGGCAGAAGCCGGCUCUGAACCCAGGCAGCCAGGCUCCCUCACGGGAAAGAGCCGCAAACCUCCCCGCGGGACAGCAGGACAGCCGCCACGUUCAGGCCCCACGUGGGACUCUGCCCCUGGAGAAGCACCUCCAGACCCGCGACGCUCAGCAGCCACGCCAGGGCAACAACUCCCAGCACCACCACCAACGCAACCCUCUUUCCCGCGCUCCAGACAGCCGUGUCCUGGCCCACAGGCGUCGUCUUGCCUCUCAAGCACCUGCUUCUAGGCUACAGCCUGCCCGGGACAAUGACAGCGCACCUCCCUUGGUGCCCGGGACCCCGGGAACAGGCCAGACUUCUCCUCCCCCGCUCCAGUCACCCCCAUGCCCUCUGCAUCACCCUCCUCACCGCCUCACGGGGCCGGCCCUGCCUUGGCCUGCCUCUGGGCCCGCUCCCGUCAGCCCGCGAUGCCUCCCUGUGUGCCCUGUCCCGUCUUCCCUCAGCCUCACCCUACACCUGCCUUCCUCGGGGACCUGAACUAAGGCCAAAGCUGUAGUGACCUUCCAAAAGGAGAGAACUGCUGAACGGGCCUCAUGCUACGAAGGCGUGGGGCGCAGGCAUGACAAGCAUGAGCCGCAUCGUUUCCAAACAAGUCGAGCCUGCAGAACAAGAACGAGCCUUGCGCCCAAGGAGGCAAACCCCUGUCCCGCCUGGACAUCACUGAGCUGGUGGUCUACGUCCCCAGGUGGCCUUCCAGGGAGACCUGGAAAGAAUAUUCAAACAAGAGCAAAAGACAAAAGUCGAUUGGCCCUCGGCACCAUCUGGCAUUUCUCCUGCGCGGACACCAGAGGGCUGACGCGUGCUCCCGCGACGGCACAUCACCCGCUGAGGCUGGAAGCAACGCCGGAGGAGCCCACGCGGUGGCACAGAGGACUGACACAGAGCAGGGUCCGCGCGGGACAGGACCCCUCUCGCAGACCCUAGCACCUCUCAGCAGUCACAGCCCCGCCCGGGCACCAGGGAAGCCUGAGACGGCGUCACAACUGUGCGUGGCCUUUCCUCACCGUGGACAGGGUGGGGGGUGGGGACAGGCUACGGAAGCCAAGGCACAGAGACCACCCCAGCGCGAGGAGACUCGGCUGCCCCCAGAACCACAGGGCGGGAAGCCUGCUUCAGGGCCCGGAGCCAGCAGCUCAGGCCACACGGGGACAAGCGGGAACAGCCAAGCGGGACACACUUAGGACAGUUUAGCACACAGAGCGUGUGGCCAGCUGGGCUGCCGUGAAGGCCAGCUAGGCCUCUCCUCGCUAAGAAAACCCAGAAGUAUGUGUA